This 253-nucleotide ribosomal RNA is filed under the name uncultured bacterium. RNAcentral's name for it is "partial 16S ribosomal RNA". It matches the Rfam family "Bacterial small subunit ribosomal RNA", at positions 524 to 776 of the family's 1533-position model. The record is from RNAcentral.
UACGGGGGGGGCAAGCGUUGUUCGGAAUUACUGGGCGUAAAGGGCUCGUAGGUGGCCAACUAAGUCGGACGUGAAAUCCCUCGGCUUAACCGGGGAACUGCGUCCGAUACUGGUUGGCUUGAGUUUGGGAGAGGGAUGCGGAAUUCCAGGUGUAGCGGUGAAAUGCGUAGAUAUCUGGAGGAACACCGGUGGCGAAGGCGGGAUCCUGGGCCAGUACUGACGCUGAGGCGCGAAAGCCAGGGGAGCAAACGGG